GCUCCCAUAGUCUAGCCCGGUCAAGGACGGAGCCCUCUCAAGGCUUUAACUCGGGUUCAAAUCCCGAUGGGAGCG
Molecule: transfer RNA, 75 nt
Filed under: Microcaldota archaeon
Lineage: Archaea; Nanobdellati; Microcaldota
Also listed under: 1 other name
Description: tRNA-Glu
Rfam family: tRNA
About the family: Transfer RNA (tRNA) molecules are approximately 80 nucleotides in length. Their secondary structure includes four short double-helical elements and three loops (D, anti-codon, and T loops). Further hydrogen bonds mediate the characteristic L-shaped molecular structure. tRNAs have two regions of fundamental functional importance: the anti-codon, which is responsible for specific mRNA codon recognition, and the 3' end, to which the tRNAs corresponding amino acid is attached (by aminoacyl-tRNA synthetases). tRNAs cope with the degeneracy of the genetic code in two manners: having more than one tRNA (with a specific anti-codon) for a particular amino acid; and 'wobble' base-pairing, i.e. permitting non-standard base-pairing at the 3rd anti-codon position.
Source: RNAcentral